This 425-nucleotide ribosomal RNA is filed under the name uncultured Acidobacteriaceae bacterium. RNAcentral describes it as "bacterial SSU rRNA". It matches the Rfam family "Bacterial small subunit ribosomal RNA", at positions 353 to 772 of the family's 1533-position model. Lineage: Bacteria; Pseudomonadati; Acidobacteriota; Terriglobia; Terriglobales; Acidobacteriaceae. The record is from RNAcentral.
AGUCGGGAAUUUUGGGCAAUGGGCGAAAGCCUGACCCAGCAACGCCGCGUGAAGGAUGAAAUCCCUCGGGAUGUAAACUUCGCAAGAACGGGAAGAAUAAGUUUGUGCUAAUACCACAAGCGAUGACGGUACUGUUUGUAAGCUCCGGCUAACUCCGUGCCAGCAGCCGCGGUAAUACGGGGGGAGCAAGCGUUGUUCGGAUUUACUGGGCGUAAAGGGCGCGUAGGCGGCCUCCGCAAGUCGGUUGUGAAAUCUCCGGGCUUAACUCGGAAAGGUCAACUGAUACUGCGGGGCUAGAGUGCAGAAGGGGCAACUGGAAUUCUCGGUGUAGCGGUGAAAUGCGUAGAUAUCGAGAGGAACACCUGCGGCGAAGGCGGGUUGCUGGGCUGACACUGACGCUGAGGCGCGAAAGCUAGGGGAGCGAA